RNAcentral lists this long non-coding RNA (1329 nucleotides) under Helianthus annuus (common sunflower). Its description in RNAcentral is "hypothetical non coding rna". The record is from RNAcentral. Lineage: Eukaryota; Viridiplantae; Streptophyta; Magnoliopsida; Asterales; Asteraceae.
CACACUGUGCGUGUGUGUGGUCGAUCGCACAAGGCAGAGGGAAAGGGGUAAACCCUAAUUCUCAAGAAAUCUCCAAAUUGAAAAGGGAAUUGAAGGUUUUUAGGAUGCAUGUAUCAAGAUUAUCGAUCUCCUAAGUGUUCUUCACUAUCAAGAACGUGUCAAGGAGAGGUCAAGCAUAGGAGGAUAACGGGUCAAGAUAAGGCAAGGUGACAAAUACACUUAAUGGAGUACUCGAGGUAAGUGAAUUUCGAUUCACUUUUUAGUAGGUUUAAUAGAUUUUAAUACUUAUGUUUACGAAACAUCAUGAAAGAACAUGUAAUAAUCAGAAGUACAAAGCCAAUAAUGCCUCAUUAUUGAGGAAGGUUGUAUUUAAGCCGAAAGUAAAUUGGUGGGUUUAAACGGGUCGAAUUUUAUGUGCAUAUGUUGCGUAAUGUAAUGAAAUUCGUUAUGGUUAAGACCUUGGGUAGGAAUUUUUAGUCAUUAUGUAAGGGGAACACUUCCCGGACCAUUAGGAACAAGUUUUAUAUGAUUCGGUUGUCGGUUAGUUAAUGAACGGAUUGUUUCAUGUUAGUGUAGGAAAUUUUAUAAGUAUAUGUGUAUAGGAACCCAAAGGGCACGUGGGUUGAAUCAUAGAUUGUCUAUACUAUGUAAAGUUGUGAAUGUGACAUUCCGGCAUAAACCUACAUGUAAAAGAAGCUUGUGUAUAUAUUCGUGAUUAAUUGAUUGUGCGUAGGAAGGAACAUUGGCAUGUAUGAAGGUACGCAUGUAUAUGUAAGUGUGUAUAUAUACAUAUAUGUAUGUAUGUAUGAUAAUAAGUACGUAGGUGUGAAUGUAUGUGUGAAUGAAUGUUCAAUGCUUAAGACAUAUGCAUGAACGUUAUCAAAGUGUUCGAGUAUUUAUGGUUACUAAUGAUGUGCGUCGAGUUGGAAUGUAAUGUAGGUAUGGGAUCGUCGGCUUCAUGAAGAAAUGGAGCUGGAUUUGGAUAAGAGUAUUUAAGAAAGCGCUUGGACAAUUCCACGACUACUUUAUAGAAUGCUCUACGAAAUUCUAUUAUAUAGUUUAAUGUUGUAUGGUAUGUUAAUGACUAAUGGUUUGGUUGUACGUGGUGUCCACAGGUAUCGCUUGGGUUUUCUCUACAUUUAUUGAAGUGAAGCGGACUUAGUUCGAGUUGAGAGCAAGGAUUGUACGGGGUAGAAUGGUCACAUAGUGUAACUCAUAUAGAUUUUGAAGUAUUAAUGUUAUAAAUCCGUUUUAAUGAAUAUAUGGCUUUUCGCAUUUGAACCUUCAUGUGUUUGAUAUGUCUAUUAAAGAACGAAAUUUUUGGGCUCU